UGGAUCCAGCAUAAACCAGUCGAUACCUAUGAGUUUGAUCUUAAGUAACGUUUACUAGCUUUGAGCGUAACUUUUUUCAAAUAAAAGUACUCAAGAUUUUUCAAAAAUUAUUCGCUAAAUUCUUUUUAUAAUCAUAAAUAUCCGUAAGAUCUCAAUCAAUAAUCAUUAAAUGUAUUUGUCAACGAUAUUAGUUAGAACGAUGCUCCUAAAAAAUUCAAUUAGUUACGCGAAACCUCAUAUGAUUUCUCCUCUUCGAACAAUUUUUCGGCAGUGAGAUUGUUGGACAGGACGAGUAGAAUGAACGUCGAGGACAUUCUGCAUCACAGGAGAAUAUUUGUAUACAUGCAGUGAACUUGUUAUUCUAUUCUUUCUUGUUCAACUGUGGUAUAUGCUCUUGACAAAUCAAAUGACUGUUUAUCUCAUAAUGCAUAACCUCUCUGAGUUUAACCUUCGAUGCUUCCGGCUCGCCUUUAUGCUCAAUUAUAGAUGCAUGUAUUGAAAAAGAAACCAACAUUUUAAUGUUAUGGAUACAUCUGUAAUAUAUUUAUAAACAGGUAUUUGUCCUUUUGUUACCCAAAAGGUAACAAAAGGUUUCAUGUGGGUAAUUUUUU
Chelonus insularis is the source of this 611-nucleotide long non-coding RNA. RefSeq lists it as uncharacterized. Lineage: Eukaryota; Metazoa; Arthropoda; Insecta; Hymenoptera; Braconidae. The record is from RefSeq and is a predicted model, not a curated record. The transcript has 2 exons.